GGAGUUAGCCGGUGCUUCUUCUGUGAGUGAUGUCCUUCCUGCCGGCUAUUAACCCGCAGGCCUUCUUCCUCACUGAAAGUGCUUUACAACCCGAAGGCCUUCUUCACACACGCGGCAUGGCUGGAUCAGGGUUGCCCCCAUUGUCCAAUAUUCCCCACUGCUGCCUCCCGUAGGAGUCUGGGCCGUGUCUCAGUCCCAGUGUGGCUGAUCAUCCUCUCAGACCAGCUACGGAUCGUCGCCUUGGUGAGCCGUUACCUCACCAACCAGCUAAUCCGACAUAGGCUCAUCCGAUAGCGCGAGGCCCGAAGGUCCCCCGCUUUCCCCCGUAGGGCGUAUGCGGUAUUAGCCUGGGUUUCCCCAGGUUAUCCCCCACUACCGGGCAGAUUCCUAUGCAUUACUCACCCGUCCGCCGCUCGCCACCAGGGAGCAAGCUCCCCGUGCUGCCGCUCGACUUGCAUGUGUUAGGCCUGCCGCCAGCGUUCAAUCUGACACGAUACAUAACUCGACUACGAGCGGCGUCGCGACGACGC
Molecule: ribosomal RNA, 530 nt
Filed under: uncultured bacterium
Lineage: Bacteria
Description: partial 16S ribosomal RNA
Source: RNAcentral